GUUGGCACUUUUAAACCUUAAUCCCUUGGUAGUCUAUUGCUUCCUUUUGGUCUCUAUUUGGUAAAUAACCAGUUUAAUUAUGUCAACACGCAAAAUAAUUGUAAAAGCCAAGGGUGCUGGUCUUAGCGAGUUUGAGCGUUUUGUAGAGCAAGCUUUACAUGACCUACAAAAUAAUACUGACGAAGAAUUCAGUCGUUCUUUGCAGACGCUCUAUUUAUGUUCUGCCAAAGAAGUUCCUGUGGGACAGGGCCGUAAAGCCGUUGUGUUAUUUGUUCCAGUUCCACUUCUCUCCCGGUUCCACACCAUUCAGAAACGCUUAGUGAGAGAGCUUGAGAAAAAAUUAAGUGGAAAACACGUCCUUGUAAUCGCACAACGACGUGUUCUAAAACCAGAAAAAAGAGGACAUCGCGCUUAUAGGCAACCUCGUCCGCGUUCACGCACUUUUACUGCUUUCUGCGACGCAUUUCUCGAAGAUCUCGUGUUUCCCACAGAGAUCCUCGGAAAGAGAACUCGCUAUCGGCUGGAUGGCUCUCGCGUUACUAAAGUGAUCUUUGAUUCUAAGGAUGAGAAAAACAUUGAACACAAGCUCGACACUUUCUCUUCCGUAUAUAAAAAGUUGACUGGACUGUCUGUUAUUUUUGAAUUUUCAGUUUCUGUCUGACUAUUGA
Long non-coding RNA from Zophobas morio, 668 nucleotides. RefSeq lists it as uncharacterized. Lineage: Eukaryota; Metazoa; Arthropoda; Insecta; Coleoptera; Tenebrionidae. The transcript is spliced from 4 exons. The record is from RefSeq and is a predicted model, not a curated record.